UUUAACGAGAGCUUUGCUGAUAAACAUUGAAUUAUGAAAUGAACAUCAAAAAGUGUUGAUAGAAAAUAUGUGUUUCAUUUACCCGACACAUUCCCAGAGACUCAAAGUAUCCUGAGAUCAAGAUGUUGUCCAGAUCAAGAUGGUGACAAGGACCUCCACCUCAUGAGACACACUGCAGUACCAGCAGCUGCUGCUAGUGACGAUGAGGAAGAAGAGGAUUAGGAGAAUAAUGGAGUUACUAAUCACAGCAAAAUUAACAAACGAGAAUAAAAAAUUAGUAUAAAAUUAUUCUAAAAGUAUUGAGACACUGCGUUCAAUAUUCAAUGGAAUGACAUCAAGUUACAACAAACUAAGGAAACAACUGGAAACAAAAAUGCACGAAAUCGAAGAGGAGAAAGGAGGAGAGAGAGGAGGAGGAGGAGCUGAAGAUUUGAACUUAUUGAAUGCUAAACUUGAAGCAGAUAAAGCUAAGCUUGAGCAUAAAGUGA
RNAcentral lists this long non-coding RNA (488 nucleotides) under Amphimedon queenslandica. RNAcentral describes it as "uncharacterized LOC109589150, transcript variant X2". Lineage: Eukaryota; Metazoa; Porifera; Demospongiae; Haplosclerida; Niphatidae. The record is from RNAcentral.